Molecule: long non-coding RNA, 273 nt
Filed under: Monodelphis domestica (gray short-tailed opossum)
Lineage: Eukaryota; Metazoa; Chordata; Mammalia; Didelphimorphia; Didelphidae
Description: lncRNA (ENSMODG00000043157.1)
Source: RNAcentral
UCUGAGUUGCUGAGGACCCUCUAGCUUGUACAAAUUGGUGUUGGGGGAAUCAACUUCCUUUUUCACUAGGUUGGCAGGCCUUGGCCCUGUCUCUGUGAAGGUGGGAAACAUGCAGCAUCCUCAUAGGUCCUCAGGAGAGAUGGCCGAACAUAGCAUUGAUCUUAAAUCUUUCAAGUAAAAGUGUAUUGGACUUGGAAAGCCAGAUUUGAAUUCUCCAGACCACAGGCAAGUCAUUAAUUCUCUCUGAGGUGAGAAAGUGAGAGGUAAGUUUCC